RNAcentral lists this ribosomal RNA (734 nucleotides) under uncultured Cellulosimicrobium sp. RNAcentral's name for it is "bacterial SSU rRNA". It matches the Rfam family "Bacterial small subunit ribosomal RNA", at positions 28 to 776 of the family's 1533-position model. The record is from RNAcentral. Lineage: Bacteria; Bacillati; Actinomycetota; Actinomycetes; Micrococcales; Promicromonosporaceae.
GACGAACGCUGGCGGCGUGCUUAACACAUGCAAGUCGAACGAUGAUGCCCAGCUUGCUGGGCGGAUUAGUGGCGAACGGGUGAGUAACACGUGAGUAACCUGCCCUUGACUUCGGGAUAACUCCGGGAAACCGGGGCUAAUACCGGAUAUGAGCCGUCCUCGCAUGGGGGUGGCUGGAAAGUUUUUCGGUCAGGGAUGGGCUCGCGGCCUAUCAGCUUGUUGGUGGGGUGAUGGCCUACCAAGGCGACGACGGGUAGCCGGCCUGAGAGGGCGACCGGCCACACUGGGACUGAGACACGGCCCAGACUCCUACGGGAGGCAGCAGUGGGGAAUAUUGCACAAUGGGCGAAAGCCUGAUGCAGCGACGCCGCGUGAGGGAUGAAGGCCUUCGGGUUGUAAACCUCUUUCAGCAGGGAAGAAGCGCAAGUGACGGUACCUGCAGAAGAAGCGCCGGCUAACUACGUGCCAGCAGCCGCGGUAAUACGUAGGGCGCAAGCGUUGUCCGGAAUUAUUGGGCGUAAAGAGCUCGUAGGCGGUUUGUCGCGUCUGGUGUGAAAACUCGAGGCUCAACCUCGAGCUUGCAUCGGGUACGGGCAGACUAGAGUGCGGUAGGGGAGACUGGAAUUCCUGGUGUAGCGGUGGAAUGCGCAGAUAUCAGGAGGAACACCGAUGGCGAAGGCAGGUCUCUGGGCCGCAACUGACGCUGAGGAGCGAAAGCAUGGGGAGCGAACAGG